This 439-nucleotide ribosomal RNA is filed under the name unidentified microsporidian S1. Its description in RNAcentral is "eukaryotic LSU rRNA". The stretch from base 77 to 439 matches the Rfam family "Eukaryotic large subunit ribosomal RNA", at positions 1 to 667 of the family's 3401-position model. The record is from RNAcentral. Lineage: Eukaryota; Fungi; Microsporidia.
CAAGGGAGCGUUUGGUUCUGCGGCCGAGGAAGGGGUUCACGAGAGACAAUCUGGACGAGACGGACACGAUGGAUGAUCGUCUGUGCCUGAAUAUGGGUACCCCUUUGAAUUAAGCAUAUGAGUAAAGGGAGGAGGAGAAACUAACAAGGAUUCCCGUAGUAGUGGCGAAUGAACAGGGAGCAGUCAGUAUGUAAUCCCCGCGGGGAGAUGUUGGGCAGAGAUGUGUGGACAAUGCGCGAGCAGCCAGAGAGGGUUGGAGCCCCGUAGUCUGCGCAGGGCCGGAUGCAAGUAGCUGUGCUUGGUAGUGCACGGUGAAGACGGUGGCAGUGUGCAUCGAAGACUAAAUACAUGCAGAGACCGAUAGCGGACAAGAUAGGGCGACUGAAAAUGUGAAAUUGCACGCAAACCCAAUGGAUUGGGCCGUCUUGAAACACGGACC